GCUGCUUUGCCUACGACCGCAUUUUGCCUCAUGGAUCUCCACGAUCCCAUUUCUUAAGUAUUGGAAUUUUCACUUAUGGAAUUUUCUAAAUUUCUAGCCAUUAUAUUUUUCUUAUACGUUUUAUCAAAGAACCUUUGCAAAUAAAAAAUUCUAAUAAUAAGAACGUAUGAAAAAUAUUCAAAUGGACUAGAAAAUAGAGAAAACCUUUUUAUGCGAGAGUCUUCUACGAGUAUGGAUUUCAACUCUCAAUGAAAGCCCCAAUUUGUGGAUGCAAAUUUUUGCCUUCUCCUUCUUUGACAAAAUUGCACCUACAAAACAAUCGACACCUUUGGUCAAGGCCAAGAGCCUCACGCGCCCACGAUGAAUGGGGGGGGGUUUGGCCGAAGAACUUUCGAUGCCAAAGUUAGAAUUUAGAGAGAAAAAGUGUUUAGAGAAUUUUUGGGAGUUUUGCAAGAGUGUGGACUUAGCUUUUUAGAAGAAAUGGGAUCCUAUAUAUAGGGAAUAAGGUGGCCGGCCCUUAGAGGAUUUUGUGUGAAAAUGGUGAUUAAUUUGGUGAUUAAUGGAUUAAUUAGAAUUAAUCUAAUUUGUAUGGAAGGUUUUGAAGGUUAUGGAAUGAGGAUGGAUGAGACAAAUUUGAACUUGUUACCUAUUUUGGGUGUUGGAAGUAUGCCCACAAAGCCACUCAUUUGAUGUAAUAGCUUUUGGAAUACUUAUUGUAUUAAACUUUUAU
This 730-nucleotide long non-coding RNA is filed under the name Malus domestica (apple). RNAcentral describes it as "long non-coding RNA (MDOM_LNC002194)". Lineage: Eukaryota; Viridiplantae; Streptophyta; Magnoliopsida; Rosales; Rosaceae. The record is from RNAcentral.